CCCUGGCUCAGGACGAACGCGGGCGGCGUGCCUAAUACAUGCAAGUCGAGCGGAGUUGAUGGAGUGCUUGCACUCCUGAUACUUAGCGGCGGACGGGUGAGUAACACGUAGGUAACCUGCCCGUAAGACUGGGAUAACAUUCGGAAACGAAUGCUAAUACCGGAUACACAACUUGGUCGCAUGAUCGGAGUUGGGAAAGACGGAGUAAUCUGUCACUUACGGAUGGACCUGCGGCGCAUUAGCUAGUUGGUGAGGUAACGGCUCACCAAGGCGACGAUGCGUAGCCGACCUGAGAGGGUGAUCGGCCACACUGGGACUGAGACACGGCCCAGACUCCUACGGGAGGCAGCAGUAGGGAAUCUUCCGCAAUGGACGAAAGUCUGACGGAGCAACGCCGCGUGAGUGAUGAAGGUUUUCGGAUCGUAAAGCUCUGUUGCCAGGGAAGAACGCUAAGGAGAGUAACUGCUCUUUAGGUGACGGUACCUGAGAAGAAAGCCCCGGCUAACUA
Molecule: ribosomal RNA, 508 nt
Filed under: Paenibacillaceae bacterium CL5.34
Lineage: Bacteria; Bacillati; Bacillota; Bacilli; Caryophanales; Paenibacillaceae
Description: bacterial SSU rRNA
Rfam family: Bacterial small subunit ribosomal RNA
Source: RNAcentral